UGAUUGCGACGAGGGGACCGCCGCCAGCAGCAGCGUAUCGCCGAUUUCGUCUUUCGGUUUGCACUGCAUCUUUCAUUGUGAUAUGGGAGAUCGCAACGGACAGAGACGACCAGAUGCAUACGAACCACUACCAGCGGGGACCUGUGACCUGUGCCAUAUUUCUCUUAACGUCUCAGGUAUUCAAGAAAUGCCAACAUCCAGAAGACGCCAUCUUAUCCAGCACGUUAUGGGUACACUCUGGUGGCUCCCACCCCUGCAUCCUACCACCGCUGUGUCCUGACUACGUCCACUAGAGAGUUCGAAGCCUUUGGCGGCUCCUGCCACUGCGUCCUGCCACCACCGUGUCCUGACUACGUCCACUAGGGAGUUGGCAGCCUUCGUGAUGAUGCCAAGCAGGCUGGAAGCCGGCAGAAAGAUUAAGGUUGCCUCGAAAUUUUACCAAAGCCGUACCACACACUCGGGCCAGGCCUUUUUGCAAACGGCGUAUAACCAAGCUCAACGCAUGAGUGUCGAGUGAGUCUGGAGAUCAAGGCAACCUGCUGUGCAACCAGCAUGCAACCUUUGGUGACCCCUCUACAUGUUCCACCUAUUUCACAGCUGCACCUCAGCUGCAACUUAUCCAAACAGCAUCACCAACUGUGGUCACUCAUCGAACCAUGGAUGAAUGUUGGGGUGGAGUGAUUUGAAGAGACAUUCUAUUUGUCUCUUCAAAUUCUUAGCAAAUACUUGUGUUAUUAUAAUUAAUAUGUGUCUUUA
Non-coding RNA from Dermacentor albipictus, 756 nucleotides. The record is from RefSeq and is a predicted model, not a curated record. Lineage: Eukaryota; Metazoa; Arthropoda; Arachnida; Ixodida; Ixodidae.